AGGAAGAUUCCAUAUGUUGGUUAAUGGGUUGAGCUGUAAACUCAAUAGUCUUUGACUACCGAAGGUUCGAUUCCUUUUCUUCCUA
Molecule: non-coding RNA, 85 nt
Organism: Ascosphaera pollenicola
Lineage: Eukaryota; Fungi; Ascomycota; Eurotiomycetes; Onygenales; Ascosphaeraceae
Source: the annotation of a GenBank genome assembly